CUCGUAGGCGGUUCGUCGCGUCCGGUGUGAAAGUCCAUCGCUUAACGGUGGAUCUGCGCCGGGUACGGGCGGGCUGGAGUGCGGUAGGGGAGACUGGAAUUCCUGGUGUAGCGGUGGAAUGCGCAGAUAUCAGGAGGAACACCGGUGGCGAAGGCGGAUCUCUGGGCCAUUACUGACGCUGAGGAGCGAAAGCGUGGGGAGCGAACA
This 207-nucleotide ribosomal RNA is filed under the name uncultured bacterium. Its description in RNAcentral is "partial 16S ribosomal RNA". It matches the Rfam family "Bacterial small subunit ribosomal RNA", at positions 568 to 774 of the family's 1533-position model. The record is from RNAcentral.